AUUGAACGCUGGCGGUAUGCUUAACACAUGCAAGUCGAACGGCAGCACGGGAUUUAUCUUGGUGGCGAGUGGCGGACGGGUGAGUAAAGUAUAGGAAUCUGCCGAGUAGAGGGGGAUAACUAUCCGAAGGGAUAGCUAAUACCGCAUAAAGCCUAAGGUUUAAAGCAGUGGCUCGUCGGACCUUGCGCUCCUUGAUGAGCCUAUAUAAGAUUAGCUAGUUGGCGAGGUAAAGGCUCACCAAGGCGACGAUCUUUAGCUGGUCUGAGAGGAUGAUCAGCCACACUGGAACUGAGACACGGUCCAGACUCCUACGGGAGGCAGCAGUGGGGAAUAUUGGACAAUGGGGGCAACCCUGAUCCAGCAAUACCGCGUGUGUGAAGGAGGCCUUCGGGUUGUAAAGCACUUUUGUUAGGGAGGAUGGUUGCUAUAGCUAAUAUCUAUAGUAGCUGACGUUACCUAAAGAAUAAGCACCGGCUAACUCCGUGCCAGCAGCCGCGGUAACAC
This 504-nucleotide ribosomal RNA is filed under the name uncultured bacterium. Its description in RNAcentral is "bacterial SSU rRNA". It matches the Rfam family "Bacterial small subunit ribosomal RNA", at positions 30 to 526 of the family's 1533-position model. The record is from RNAcentral.